AUUGAACGCUGGCGGCAGGCCUAACACAUGCAAGUCGAGCGGAUGAAGAGAGCUUGCUCUCUGAUUCAGCGGCGGACGGGUGAGUAAUGCCUAGGAAUCUGCCUGGUAGUGGGGGACAACGUUUCGAAAGGAACGCUAAUACCGCAUACGUCCUACGGGAGAAAGCAGGGGACCUUCGGGCCUUGCGCUAUCAGAUGAGCCUAGGUCGGAUUAGCUAGUUGGUGAGGUAAUGGCUCACCAAGGCGACGAUCCGUAACUGGUCUGAGAGGAUGAUCAGUCACACUGGAACUGAGACACGGUCCAGACUCCUACGGGAGGCAGCAGUGGGGAAUAUUGGACAAUGGGCGAAAGCCUGAUCCAGCCAUGCCGCGUGUGUGAAGAAGGUCUUCGGAUUGUAAAGCACUUUAAGUUGGGUAGGAAGGGUAGUAACCUAAUACGUUGCUACUUUGACGUUACCGACAGAAUAAGCAACCGGCUAAACUUCGUG
Molecule: ribosomal RNA, 487 nt
Filed under: uncultured bacterium
Lineage: Bacteria
Description: bacterial SSU rRNA
Rfam family: Bacterial small subunit ribosomal RNA
Source: RNAcentral